ACGAGCGCNACCCUNGUCANUAGUUGCUACAUUCAGUUGGGCACUCUAAUGAGACUGCCGGUGACAAACCGGAGGAAGGUGGGGAUGACGUCAAGUCCUCAUGGCCCUUAUAGGNGGGGCUACACACGUCAUACAAUGGNUGGUACAAAGGGUUGCCAACCCGCGAGGGGGAGCUAAUCCCAUAAAACCAGUCGUAGUCCGGAUCGCAGUCUGCAACUCGACUGCGUGAAGUCGGAAUCGCUAGUAAUCGUGGAUCAGAAUGUCACGGUGAAUACGUUCCCGGGUCUUGUACACACCGCCCGUCACACCAUGGGAGCGGGUUCUGCCAGAAGUAGUUAGCUUAACCGCAAGGAGGGCGAUACCACGGCAGGGUUC
RNAcentral lists this ribosomal RNA (375 nucleotides) under Variovorax paradoxus. RNAcentral describes it as "bacterial SSU rRNA". It matches the Rfam family "Bacterial small subunit ribosomal RNA", at positions 1092 to 1470 of the family's 1533-position model. The record is from RNAcentral. Lineage: Bacteria; Pseudomonadati; Pseudomonadota; Betaproteobacteria; Burkholderiales; Comamonadaceae.